RNAcentral lists this ribosomal RNA (315 nucleotides) under uncultured eukaryote. RNAcentral describes it as "partial 18S ribosomal RNA". It matches the Rfam family "Eukaryotic small subunit ribosomal RNA", at positions 1470 to 1796 of the family's 1831-position model. The record is from RNAcentral.
CCCUUAGACGUUCUGGGCCGCACGCGCGCUACACUGUCCAGUGCAACAAGCAUCCGUCCUUGGCCGACAGGCCCGGGCAAUCUUUGAACGCUGGUCGUGAUGGGGAUAGACUUUUGCAAUUUUUGGUCUUCAACGAGGAAUUCCUAGUAAACGCAAGUCAUCAACUUGCAUUGAUUACGUCCCUGCCCUUUGUACACACCGCCCGUCGCACCUACCGAUUGAAUGGUCCAGUGAAGCCUCCGGAUUGGCGCGCACCUCGGUGCCGCCGAGAAGUUGGCUAAACCUUACCAUUUAGAGGAAGGUGAAGUCGUAACA